RNAcentral lists this ribosomal RNA (444 nucleotides) under uncultured marine eukaryote. Its description in RNAcentral is "partial 18S ribosomal RNA". It matches the Rfam family "Eukaryotic small subunit ribosomal RNA", at positions 121 to 565 of the family's 1831-position model. The record is from RNAcentral.
UGGAUGGUACUUUAUUCCUGGGUUACCCACGGUAUUUCCUAGAGCUAAUACAUGCAUACAGACCCGACUUUUGAGGGGGGUUUUUAUUAUAACAACACUGAACCGCUUCGCUGUCCGCUUGGUGACUCAGAAUAACUUUGGGCUGAUCCCAUGGCCUUGCGCCCGAUACUUUUUUCUCGUUUGUGUCCCCUAUCCUUUGUACAGUGUGGCAUUGACCCCCACAGUGGUUUUGACGGGAAACGGGGAAUCGGGGUUCUAUUCCGGAGAGGGAGCCUUAAAAACGGCUACCACAUCUAAGGAAGGCAGCAGGCACGCAUUACACCCAAUGACCAAAGGUCGAGGGUGACACGAAAAAUAAAUAUAGCGGACUCAUCCGAGGCCCGCUAAUUGGAAUGAAUACACUUUAAAACCGUCCCCAAGGAUCUAUUGGAGGGCAAAAAUGGU